CGCGCCACCAGUCUCCGCUCUCCUUCCUCCGUCUUGGCCCCGCCGAGCCGUGUGCUUCGUCGCCGGCCUCUGCCUCCUCCGUCUGUGUCGCCAGGCGUGCCUCGCCUGCUCUCUGUCGGUCGUGGCUCCCCUGCGUCUGUCUCUGUCGUCCGAAGCUCUGCGUGCGGCCUCCUCUCCUCUACGGGCAACUCUCCUCGCCGGUGGCCUGGCCUCUGCAACCCCAGGUCCGCAACCCGUCCCUGACUCUGCGUCUGCUUCUGCAGUCCGUGUAGUAACCAGCGAUCCAGAAGUUUGACCGGUUCUAUUACGGGUUUGGUUCUGAUAACUAUGGUUUGAGGCUCCAUUGACACCUGUGUAGAAAGUAGAAACUCGUUCCUCUUACCAUUCUCUAAUCAGAUUACCAAGAUAGUGUGUGUGUGUGUGGAGACCUAGCAUUUCUACCAAAGAAGACAAGGGCCCCAUCAUGAGGGAAGUGUUAGGGCAAUUCAGGAGGCUAGGGGCUGUCCGGAGCUACGCAAAGCACCUUCGCAUUCCUGGAAUCAAGGAUACCAUUGCCGUCGCCUCCGGUAAAGGCGGUGUCGGAAAGUCUACUACUGCUGUUAAUUUAGCUGUAGCACUUGCAAGUAAAUGCCAACUGAAGGUUGGUUUGCUUGAUGCUGAUGUAUAUGGACCGAAUAUCCCCACUAUGAUGAACAUCAACAGAAAACCUGAUGUCACUGAAGAUAAGAAAAUGAUUCCCAUUGAAAAUUAUGGGAUCAAGUGUAUGUCAAUAGGGUUCCUUGUCGAGAAGUAUGCCCCAAUUGUAUGGAGAGGUCCCAUGGUAACAAAUGCUCUUGAGAAAAUGACAAGGGGAGUUGACUGGGGAAACCUUGAUGUUUUAGUGAUGGAUUUGCCUCCUGGGACUGGUGAUGUCCAGAUAGCUAUGUCUCAGAAUCUGCAAUUAUCAGGUGCACUGAUUGUUUCAACUCCUCAAGAUGUUGCAUUAAUGGAUGCCAGGAGGGGUGUAAAAAUGUUCAAUAAAGUUGAUGUUCCGAUUUUGGGAAUUGUAGAGAACAUGAGCUGCUUUAAGUGUCCACAUUGUGGUGAACCAUCGUAUAUAUUUGGUAAAGGAGGGGCUCCUAAGGCAGCCAGUGAAAUGGGGUUAGAAUUUUUAGGCGAGGAUUUAUGAUGCGUCCAUGUUUAACUAAAAUUUUCAAGCCAAAAUUAAAUGAGGAAGACAUAGAGAAAGUGAAGUUAAUAAUCGCUUGGAUACCACUCGAAAUGGAGAUCAGAGAGGCGUGUGAUCAAGGGCACCCCAUAGUUUUGGCUGCCCCUGAUUCUGUGGUUUCCAGAGCAUAUGGCGAUUUAGCUGAAAAAGUUGUUCAGAAACUUAAGGAACAGCAGUUCAAACCAGAGAUUAUAUUAUGAAAUGCUGUCCUUCACCACAAUAUCUCUGUCAACCUGUGAGCGACAUUAUCUGGCACGCCCACAUUUUCAUUCAAGAAAGGAGCCCCUAGCCGUUCGCCAUGACAGCUAAAAAAUGUGGCAUUUGACAAAUCUUACAAUGUGUUAAAAGUUUAAAGUUUGGAUGAGAUACAGGUUAGGCUUAUGAUUUAUAUUUUGUAGGUUCCAGCAUCUCCAUAAAUAUUGUGAAAUUAGAUGUGAAUGUUUCUUUGACCUCACAUAACACAGGUGCUGUUUAAGUUGUCAUUUUUAUGUAAUUUUUCUGUAGAAGAAAAAUAAGCAGUUUUAUCACACUGUAAUGAUGAGGCUACAGAGUUUUGUUUAUUCACGAGUCUCUCUUGAUAAGCCUUUGCCUAUUUUGUCUGUUUUUGGUGAUUGAUUUUUUAUUUGAUGCAUUGUAGGAGAAUUGUCUUUAGCAUCAUCUUGUAAAGAGAAGGCAAUUAUGCCAUGGAUAUUCUUGACCUUAUAGAUAUGAUUCCUUUUAGUGUAGGUCA
This is a non-coding RNA of Arachis ipaensis, 1937 nucleotides long. The record is from RefSeq and is a predicted model, not a curated record. Lineage: Eukaryota; Viridiplantae; Streptophyta; Magnoliopsida; Fabales; Fabaceae.